AUUGAACGCUGGCGGCAGGCUUAACACAUGCAAGUCGAGCGGUAACAGAGAGAAGCUUGCUUCUCUGCUGACGAGCGGCGGACGGGUGAGUAAUGCCUAGGAAUCUGCCUAGUAGUGGGGGAUAACUUGCCGAAAGGUAAGCUAAUACCGCAUACGUCCUACGGGAGAAAGGAGGGGACCUUCGGGCCUUUCGCUAUGAGAUGAGCCUAGGUCGGAUUAGUCAGUUGGUGAGGUAAUGGCUCACCAAGACCGCGAUCCGGAACUGGUCUGAGAGGAUGCUCAGGCACACUGGAAGUGAGACACGGGCCAGACUCCUACGGGAGGCAGCAGUGGGGAAUAUUGGACAAUGGGGGGAGCGCUGAUCCAGCCAUGCCGCGUGUGGGAAGGAGGUCUUAGGAUUGUAAAGCACUUUAAGUUGGGAGGAAGAGCAGUUAACUACUAUUUGGCUGUUUUGACGUUACCGACAGAAUAAGCACCGGCUAACUUCGUGCCAGCCGCCGCCGUAA
This 506-nucleotide ribosomal RNA is filed under the name uncultured bacterium. RNAcentral's name for it is "partial 16S ribosomal RNA". It matches the Rfam family "Bacterial small subunit ribosomal RNA", at positions 30 to 523 of the family's 1533-position model. The record is from RNAcentral.